RNAcentral lists this ribosomal RNA (398 nucleotides) under uncultured bacterium. Its description in RNAcentral is "bacterial SSU rRNA". It matches the Rfam family "Bacterial small subunit ribosomal RNA", at positions 361 to 776 of the family's 1533-position model. The record is from RNAcentral.
AUAUUGGACAAUGGGCGCAAGCCUGAUCCAGCCAUGCCGCGUGAGUGAAGAAGGCCUUCGGGUUGUAAAGCUCUUUUGGCGGGGACGAUGAUGGCGGUACCCGCAGAAUAAGCCCCGGCUAACUUCGUGCCAGCAGCCGCGGUAAGACGAAGGGGGCUAGCGUUGUUCGGAAUUACUGGGCGUAAAGGGCGCGUAGGCGGUUUGUUAAGUCAGGCGUGAAAGCCCUGGGCUCAACCUGGGAUGUGCGCUUGAUACUGGCAGGCUUGAGUGCAGGAGAGGAUGGUGGAAUUCCCAGUGUAGAGGUGAAAUUCGUAGAUAUUGGGAAGAACACCGGUGGCGAAGGCGGCCAUCUGGACUGCAACUGACGCUGAGGCGCGAAAGCGUGGGGAGCAAACAGG